GUUUUGGAACAGGCAAUAGCUCAGGGGUAGAGUGUCUGCUUUGAAUGACACAGAAGGUUCUGGGUUCAAACCCUGACACCUCCAGGUAGGACU
Molecule: non-coding RNA, 93 nt
Organism: Podarcis lilfordi (Lilford's wall lizard)
Lineage: Eukaryota; Metazoa; Chordata; Lepidosauria; Squamata; Lacertidae
Source: the annotation of a GenBank genome assembly